RNAcentral lists this ribosomal RNA (671 nucleotides) under Clostridium botulinum. RNAcentral's name for it is "bacterial SSU rRNA". It matches the Rfam family "Bacterial small subunit ribosomal RNA", at positions 373 to 1061 of the family's 1533-position model. The record is from RNAcentral. Lineage: Bacteria; Bacillati; Bacillota; Clostridia; Eubacteriales; Clostridiaceae.
GGGGGAAACCCUGACGCAGCAACGCCGCGUGGGUGAUGAAGGUCUUCGGAUUGUAAAGCCCUGUUUUCUGGGACGAUAAUGACGGUACCAGAGGAGGAAGCCACGGCUAACUACGUGCCAGCAGCCGCGGUAAUACGUAGGUGGCGAGCGUUGUCCGGAUUUACUGGGCGUAAAGGGUGCGUAGGCGGAUGUUUAAGUGGGAUGUGAAAUCCCCGGGCUUAACCUGGGGGCUGCAUUCCAAACUGGAUAUCUAGAGUGCAGGAGAGGAAAGCGGAAUUCCUAGUGUAGCGGUGAAAUGCGUAGAGAUUAGGAAGAACACCAGUGGCGAAGGCGGCUUUCUGGACUGUAACUGACGCUGAGGCACGAAAGCGUGGGUAGCAAACAGGAUUAGAUACCCUGGUAGUCCACGCCGUAAACGAUGGAUACUAGGUGUAGGGGGUAUCAACUCCCCCUGUGCCGCAGUUAACACAAUAAGUAUCCCGCCUGGGGAGUACGGUCGCAAGAUUAAAACUCAAAGGAAUUGACGGGGGCCCGCACAAGCAGCGGAGCAUGUGGUUUAAUUCGAAGCAACGCGAAGAACCUUACCUGGACUUGACAUCCCUUGCAUAGCCUAGAGAUAGGUGAAGCCCUUCGGGGCAAGGAGACAGGUGGUGCAUGGUUGUCGUCAGCUC